Molecule: ribosomal RNA, 464 nt
Filed under: uncultured bacterium
Lineage: Bacteria
Description: partial 16S ribosomal RNA
Rfam family: Bacterial small subunit ribosomal RNA
Source: RNAcentral
ACGAACGCUGGCGGCGUGCUUAACACAUGCAAGUCGAACGGAAAGGCCCUGCUUGCCGGGUACUCGAGUGGCGAACGGGUGAGUAACACGUGGGUGAUCUGCCCUGCACUUCGGGAUAAGCCUGGGAAACUGGGUCUAAUACCGGAUAGGAGCCAUUUUUAGUGUGAUGGUUGGAAAGUUUUUUCGGUGUAGGAUGAGCUCGCGGCCUAUCAGCUUGUUGGUGGGGUAAUGGCCUACCAAGGCGGCGACGGGUAGCCGGCCUGAGAGGGUGGACGGCCACAUUGGGACUGAGAUACGGCCCAGACUCCUACGGGAGGCAGCAGUGGGGAAGAUUGCACAAUGGGCGCAAGCCUGAUGCAGCGACGCCGCGUGGGGGAUGACGGCCUUCGGGUUGUAAACUCCUUUCGCUAGGGACGAAGCUUUUUGUGACGGUACCUAGAGAAGAAGCACCGGCUAACUACGUG